UCCUGGCUCAGAACGAACGCUGGCGGCAUGCCUAACACAUGCAAGUCGAACGAGACCUUCGGGUCUAGUGGCGCACGGGUGCGUAACGCGUGGGAACCUGCCUUUAGGUUCGGAAUAACUCAGAGAAAUUUGAGCUAAUACCGGAUGAUGUCUUCGGACCAAAGAUUUAUCGCCCAAGGAUGAGCCCGCGUAAGAUUAGCUAGUUGGUGAGGUAAAGGCUCACCAAGGCGACGAUCUUUAGCUGGUCUGAGAGGAUGAUCAGCCACACUGGGACUGAGACACGGCCCAGACUCCUACGGGAGGCAGCAGUGGGGAAUAUUGGACAAUGGGCGAAAGCCUGAUCCAGCAAUGCCGCGUGAGUGAUGAAGGCCUUAGGGUUGUAAAGCUCUUUUACCAGGGAUGAUAAUGACAGUACCUGGAGAAUAAGCUCCGGCUAACUCCGUG
This 444-nucleotide ribosomal RNA is filed under the name uncultured bacterium. RNAcentral describes it as "bacterial SSU rRNA". It matches the Rfam family "Bacterial small subunit ribosomal RNA", at positions 17 to 507 of the family's 1533-position model. The record is from RNAcentral.